UUUUAUUUGAGAGUUUGAUCCUGGCUCAGGAUGAACGCUGGCGGCGUGCCUAACACAUGCAAGUUGAGCGAUUUACUUCGGUAAAGAGCGGCGGACGGGGGAGUAACGCGUGGGUAACCUACCCUGUACACACGGAUAACAUACCGAAAGGUAUGCUAAUACGGGAUAAUAUAUUUGAGAGGCAUCUCUUAAAUAUCAAAGGUGAGCCAGUACAGGAUGGACCCGCGUCUGAUUAGUUAGUUGGUAAGGUAACGGCUUACCAAGGCGACGAUCAGUAGCCGACCUGAGAGGGUGAUCGGCCACAUUGGAACUGAGACACGGUCCAAACUCCUACGGGAGGCAGCAGUGGGGAAUAUUGCACAAUGGGCGAAAGCCUGAUGCAGCAACGCCGCGUGAGUGAUGAAGGCCUUCGGGUCGUAAAACUCUGUCCUCAAGGAAGAUAAUGACGGUACUUGAGGAGGAAGCCCCGGCUAACUACGUGCCAGCAGCCGCGGUAAUACGUAGGGGGCUAGCGUUAUCCG
This 521-nucleotide ribosomal RNA is filed under the name Clostridioides difficile. Its description in RNAcentral is "bacterial SSU rRNA". It matches the Rfam family "Bacterial small subunit ribosomal RNA", at positions 1 to 547 of the family's 1533-position model. The record is from RNAcentral. Lineage: Bacteria; Bacillati; Bacillota; Clostridia; Peptostreptococcales; Peptostreptococcaceae.